UCUCUCUUCGGUUCAGUACAUAACAUGCUAAUGGCUUCACCAGUCUAUCUCCCUGUCGAAUCAAAUGUAAUUUCUUUCUAAUCCAUAUAUCCUCCAAGUCAAAACGAACCUUCAUGGUAUCCUUCGUUCUUCCUUCGAUAUUGAGGAUGGUAUAAAAUACAUUAUCAAAUAUAUUCUUUUCAAUGUGCAUGACGUCAAGAUUGUAUCAAAGAAGAAGCAUUUUUCAAUAUGGA
Molecule: long non-coding RNA, 233 nt
Filed under: Elaeis guineensis (African oil palm)
Lineage: Eukaryota; Viridiplantae; Streptophyta; Magnoliopsida; Arecales; Arecaceae
Description: long non-coding RNA (EGUI_LNC011714)
Source: RNAcentral